RNAcentral lists this long non-coding RNA (5423 nucleotides) under Zea mays. Its description in RNAcentral is "long non-coding RNA (ZMAY_LNC005694)". The record is from RNAcentral. Lineage: Eukaryota; Viridiplantae; Streptophyta; Magnoliopsida; Poales; Poaceae.
UUUGGAUCAAUUGGUGGUGGUAGGAUUUUACUCCGAUCAGGGUUCAACACAGGCGUAUGAGGAUCCGGACAGGCAACAAGCCAGCCGCCGCCAACAGGUACGUUCCAGUCUGCCGUUCACUUAUUACAGACAAGUAUUUAUGUGCUACAGUAAUAGACCUAGUUCACCCAUGGGCCUCCAACGUAUUUGGCAUUGGGCUUCUUGGUGCGUUUGCUUCUCUGCGCUUUGGCUGCAGCCUGGUCGUCGAUCUCCAGUGGCACUGUCUUCUGGGCCUUGGUGACAUUCCUUCCCCCUUUAGAAACAGCUUGACCCCAAGCUGGAGCGUACGGGAACGCUUGCUUGAUAGCUUCUUCAUCCUCCCAUGUAGCAAGUGAUUCUGGCCAUUCUGACCAUUUCACUAGUACCUGCGAUAUCACCUUGGAGCCCUUCUUGGUUAGCCGUGAAUCAAUCACCUGUUCAGGUACCUGUAGCUCAUGUGACAUAUCAGGUAACUCCGCACAUAAAGGAACAUGUUUGCCUAACACAGGUUUCAGUUGUGAUACAUGAAACACGGGGUGGAUGGCGCUGCCUGGCGGAAGUUGCAACUCGUAUGCCACCUGGUUAACCUUCUUCACAACCUCAUAAGGUCCAAAAUACCGAAAGGACAACUUGUGGUUCAUUCUUGCCGUGACUGAUUGUUGGCAGUAUGGUUGGAGCUUCAGAAACACCCAAUCUCCCACUUCAAAGUUUCUCUCCACUCGUUUCUUAUCAGCCUGCUUCUUCAUGCGAUCCUGGGCUCUCUGUAAGUGCAUUUUCACUUGCUGCAUUGCUUGCUGCCUGGUUUGGAGCAAAUCCUGCAGAUCUGGUACUGAACAUUGGUCAGCUGAUAUCAGUCCAAGCUGUGAAGGAGUAUGACCAUAAAGAACUUCAAACGGUGAUUUUCCCAGCGCGGUGUGAUAACAUGUAUUAUACCAGAAUUCUGCUAGGGAUAUCCAGGAAUACCAUUGUCGGGGACAGGAUUGCACAAAGCACCGCAGAUAAGUCUCCAGACACUGGUUCACCCGUUCCGUCUGUCCAUCAGACUGCGGGUGGUAAGCACUGCUCAUACACAAUUUGGUGCCUGCCAAAGUGAAUAGUUCACGCCACAACUUGCUGGUAAAAACAGGGUCUCGAUCUGAGAUGAUAGAGGAUGGUAAACCAUGCAAACGAUAGACCUCCUUCAGAUAUAGCUUGGCCACUGACAGAGCAGAAAAUGGGUGGGCCAAAGCUAGAAAAUGGGCAUAUUUUGAAAAUUUAUCAACCACUACCAUGAUACAAUUGUAGUGAUGAGAAAUAGGUAAACCAGAUAUAAAAUCCAGACUUACUACCUGCCAUGCCUGCUCUGGUAUAGGUAAUGGCAUCAAUAAACCAGGAUAGCGACCUCUUUCCGCCUUGGCCUACUGGCAGAUUAGACAGGUUUGGACAAAGGUCAUCACUGCUUGUUUCAUUCCUGGCCAGCUGAAAUGAGCCUUUAUGCGUCUGUAUGUAACUGGAAAUCCCGAGUGACCACCCACUGCGCUGUCAUGUAAUGCAGCCAUCACUUUAUGUUGCAUAGAUUGGUUUGCACCCAGCCACACCCGAUCCUUGUACAUUAUGAUCCCUCCUUUGUAGGUGAAGUCUCCCACAGCCUCCCCAGCAGUCAUUCGUCUUAAUAAGUUUGUGGCAUUUUCAUCAGCAUCAUACCCCGCCCUCACUUCUUCUAGCCAUCUAGGUACCACUGUCGAUACUGAUAUGCUAUGCAACUGUGCAUAUGGUUCAUCUUCUGUAAAGUUCGGACGACGAGAUAGAGCGUCGGCUACCUUAUUUUCCACUCCUUUCUUGUACACAAUUCGGAACUGCAAGCCCAGCAGUUUGGUGAGGGCCUUUUGUUGAAGCGGAGUAGAUAUCCGUUGGUCAUCCAAGUGAGUCAAGCUCUUUUGGUCUGUUUUGAUCACAAAUUCACCGUUCUAGAGAUACGGUCGCCAAUGCUCAACAGCAAAUAGAAUAGCCAAACAUUCUUUCUCGUAGGUCGACAAGCCCAAAUUCUUAGGACCUAGUGCUUUGCUAAUAUAAGCAAUGGGAUGUCCCUGCUGUUGUAACACAGCUCCAAUUCCGAGUCCACUGGCAUCAGUUUCAAUAGUGAAUGUAUUGGUAAAAUCUGGCAAGGCUAACACUGGUGCCUGGGAAAGUGCCAUCUUCAAUGUAUCGAAUGAUCUCUGGGCUUGAUCAUCCCAAAGGAAGACGGUAUCUUUUUUUAAUAAAUUUGUCAGAGGCUUGCUGAUGAUUCCAAAUUGAGCCACAAACUUCCUAUAAUAUCCUGUCAUUCCUAGGAAGCUGCGCACAUCCUUGACACAGGUGGGUCGUGGCCAUUCCAAUAUGAUCUUUACCUUGUUCGGAUCGGUUGCCACUCCUGUUGAGCUGAUAACAUGGCCCAGAAAUUCUAGUUUCUCCUGUCCGAACAAGCAUUUAGAUAACUUCAAUUUCAAUUGAUGUUGUCUCAGCAAUUUAAAAACCUGUUCCAGAUGCUCCACAUGCUCUUCCAAACCUCGGCUAUACACCAGCACAUCAUCAAGAAAGACCACCACACAUUUCCUCAACAAAGUAGACAAUACUUUGCUCAUAAAAUCCUGAAAGGUAGCUGGUGCCCCUGUUAGACCAAAUGGCAUUACCCUGUAUUCAAAGUGCCCGUGGUGUGUUUGAAAUGCCGUUUUAUAUUCCUCACCCUCUUUGAUGCGUAUCUGGUGGUACCCAGAUCGAUGAUCUAGCUUGGUAAAAAUGGUUGACCCACUUAGCUCAUCCGUGAUUUCAUCAAAUAAUGGCAUCGGGUACCGAUUCUUGACGGUAUAGGUGUUUAACCGUCGAUAAUCCACACACAUUCGCCAUUCUCCGUCUUUCUUCUUGACCAGGAGGACAGGGGAGGCAAACGGGCUUGAACUGGGCUGAAUGAUUCCGUUCUCUAACAUCUCCUUCACCUGUUUCUCGAUUUCAGACUUUUGCUGUGGGGUAUACCGAUAGGGCCUCAACCAAAAUGGAAGUGCACCUGGUAUUAGAGGGAUAGAGUGAUCGAUGGACCUUUUAGGUGGCAAUGCCUUUGGUUUCUGGAACAGGUCCUGAUAACGACCCACCAGUUGUUCAAUCACCGGGGGUAUUCCUGAAUUAUCAGUCUGGGUUGCCACUCGGAUUUCCAGCAGCUGUUCCACAGCGUCCCGUUUGACCAACCCUCUAAGUUGUGUACUUGAUAGCUGCCUGCAACUUCCCAGUUGAGGUUUGAGUCCUUGCAGAAGAACUUCCUUUCCAUUAUGUAAAAACUUCAUCCAUUUGUCAGCCCAAUGCACAGCCAUAGGACUGUAUCCUUCUAACCAGUCCAUUCCCAAUAUCAUGUCGUAUCCACUGAGUGGCAACACCUUCAAAUCCAUGUGAAAUGUUAUUCCCCCACAGAGCCACUUGCAAUUAGGAACCCAAUGCUUACUCCACAAUAUCCUUCCAUCUGCUACCUUCACCCGAAUUGGCCUUGGUAAUUUUUGCACCGGUGAUAUUGUUCCCAUUAGCUUGUUGCUCACGAAACUUCCAGAGCUACCUGAGUCCACUAGAAUUAACACCUGCUGUCCACAAACAGAUGCUAGCAGCCGAAUUGUUCGAUUGCCUUCGCCUCCACUAACCGCUGCUGCAGAUAUGGCUAGAAUCUCUGCGUCCUCCUCGUUUUCAUAAGUAUUUUCCAACUCCUCAUUGCCGUCACUUUCUUCAGUUGCCUGUGCCAUAGCCCACAUCUCCUCCACCACAUGUAAUGGGACAUUGGCAGAACACCGAUGACUCUGACUCCACCUUUCCCCACACUUGAAGCACAGACCCUUAGCCCUCCUGUAGGCCUUCAGUGCCGACAAUUUACCGUCAUCUGUUCUCGGGUUCAUGGUGGUCCCACCUCGGCGGUCAUUUGUGGAUUGAGCAUUCCGACCACCGUUUACAUUUGAAUUAGAUCCCGGCACCGGACUGAAUCUUCCGGUUGGUUUGGAAAAUCCUCCACCCUCCAUCCUCCGACUCUCCUUGCUUCCAGUGCAGAUCAGCACAUCCUCCUGCAAUAGAGCAAGGGAGCAAGCAGUAUCCAAGUCUGACGGACGCUGAAUAAGAAUUACAGAUUUAAUCUCAUCCUUAAGCCCAUCAAUGAAUCUAGCAGUGAUCAUGGAAGAUGUAAGCUGAUUUUCGUGUGCUAAAAGCUGGUGCAUUAAGAUAUCAAACUGCUCUACAUAGUCCACUACAGAGGUGAUCUGUUUAAUGUGAUAGAAUUGUCUUAUCAGCAGAUUAUGUUGAUCCCUCCCGAAACGUGUGACUAAGUGGGUACAAAACUCCUCCCAGUUCAUCUCCCUGAUUUUAUCUUCCAUGGACUGAACCCAGAACACGGCAGGACCUUCAAAGUACAUGAUCGACAUCCUAAUCCAUCGCUCCCUAGGCACCAGAUAAAAUUCGAAAUAGGUCUCACUUCUAUGCUUCCAGAGCUUAGGGUUUGAACCAUCAAACAAAGGAAAAUUCAUGCUAGGUCCUACAGACCCUAGACCAGACCCUUGAGACCACUCCCCCAUAGACUGACGCCCUUCCGAUUCCCAGCGAAACUGAUGUGGAGUAUUGCUUGGAACCGUACCUUUGACCGGAGGGGGUGUUCGGACCUCAUCGGUCCUGGCACCCGGUCUCCGGUAUGGUUCAUCCUUGCGGUGGCCUGUUUGCCCGUGCAUCGCCUCUGUGGAGGAAAAACCACGAUGAGCGGCUCCCGAUGCACCAUCCGCCUGAUGAUGCUCGCGCGCAGUCGGAGGUACGAAUUGAUCCACCUUGGCUUGAAUCGCCGCGAGCGCCUCCCCGAUCUGCGACACCUUGUGCUCCACUUCCGGGCGCCACUUCUGGAAUUCACCUUGCUCCAUCAGCACACUUCGCACCGUCGUUUCCAUCCCACUCAUUGACACCUUCAUCUCCUCCAUCCUUCGAUGGGUCUCCCGGUUGCCUUCCUCAAUCCGAGCAAGGAUCUGAGACAUCGGGUCAUCUCCUUUCGGUGGCGCCAUCUCUUCUCCCUUGGUCUGCAACCUCGUCCGGUAUCCGUGGGGCGGAUCCAGAUUUGCCUCUGAUACCAGAUGUUAGCAACACAAUCACAGAGACUGGAAUCUGCUUUUGGAUCAAUUGGUGGUGGUAGGAUUUUACUCCGAUCAGGGUUCAACACAGGCGUACGAGGAUCCGGACAGGCAACAAGCCAGCCGCCGCCAACAGGUACGUUCCAGUCUGCCGUUCACUUAUUACAGACAAGUAUUUAUGUGCUACAGUAAUAGACCUAGUUCACCCAUGGGCCUCCAACGUAUUUGGCAUUGGGCUUCUUGGUGCGUUUGCUUCUCUGCGCUUUGGCUGCAGCCUGGUCGUCGAUCUCCAGUGGCACUGUCUUCUGGGCCUUG